CACGUAGUUAGCCGUGGCUUAUUCAAGGGGUACCGUCUUCCGCUCUUCCCCCUUAAAAGAAGUUUACAACCCGAAAGCCUUCUUCCUUCACGCGGCGUUGCUGGGUCAGACUUGCGUCCAUUGCCCAAUAUUCCCCACUGCUGCCUCCCGUAGGAGUCUGGGCCGUAUCUCAGUCCCAAUGUGGCCGGCCAACGUCCUC
RNAcentral lists this ribosomal RNA (199 nucleotides) under uncultured Oscillibacter sp. RNAcentral describes it as "partial 16S ribosomal RNA". Lineage: Bacteria; Bacillati; Bacillota; Clostridia; Eubacteriales; Oscillospiraceae. The record is from RNAcentral.